This 1958-nucleotide ribosomal RNA is filed under the name Notiophilus semiopacus. RNAcentral describes it as "SSU rRNA". It matches the Rfam family "Eukaryotic small subunit ribosomal RNA". Lineage: Eukaryota; Metazoa; Arthropoda; Insecta; Coleoptera; Carabidae. The record is from RNAcentral.
GUCAUAUGCUUGUCUCAAGGAUUAAGCCAUGCAUGUCUCAGUACAAGCCAAAUUAAGGUGAAACCGCGAAAGGCUCAUUAAAUCAGUUAUGGUUCCUUAGAUCGUACCCACAUUUACUUGGAUAACUGUGGUAAUUCUAGAGCUAAUACAUGCAAACAGAGCUCCAACCAGAGAUGGAAGGAGUGCUUUUAUUAGAUCAAAACCAAUCGGCGGCGGGCACUUGUGUCCGUUCGUCGCCCUACUUGGUGACUCUGAAUAACUUUAUGCUGAUCGCACGGUCUUGCACCGGCGACGCAUCUUUCAAAUGUCUGCCUUAUCAACUGUCGAUGGUAGGUUCUGCGCCUACCAUGGUUGUAACGGGUAACGGGGAAUCAGGGUUCGAUUCCGGAGAGGGAGCCUGAGAAACGGCUACCACAUCCAAGGAAGGCAGCAGGCGCGCAAAUUACCCACUCCCGGCACGGGGAGGUAGUGACGAAAAAUAACGAUACGGGACUCAUCCGAGGCCCCGUAAUCGGAAUGAGUACACUUUAAAUCCUUUAACGAGGAUCAAUUGGAGGGCAAGUCUGGUGCCAGCAGCCGCGGUAAUUCCAGCUCCAAUAGCGUAUAUUAAAGUUGUUGCGGUUAAAAAGCUCGUAGUUGAAUCUGUGUCCCGCGCUGUCGGUUCACCGCCCGCGGUGUUUAACUGGCACGUCUCGCGGGACGUCCUGCCGGUGGACGGUUAAUUAUAGUGUUGUCUUGGUGUCUGUUUCGGCAGAAUUACCGGGCAUUAUGAUCCGUCCGACUUUUUUAAAUCCUGUCGCGGUGCUCUUAACUGAGUGUCGAGGCGGGCCGGCACGUUUACUUUGAACAAAUUAGAGUGCUCAAAGCAGGCUAAAACUUCGCCUGAAUAUUGUGUGCAUGGAAUAAUGGAACAGGACCUCGGUUCUAUUUUGUUGGUUUUCGGAACCCCGAGGUAAUGAUUAAUAGGGACAGAUGGGGGCAUUCGUAUUGCGACGUUAGAGGUGAAAUUCUUGGAUCGUCGCAAGACGGACAGAAGCGAAAGCAUUUGCCAAAAAUGUUUUCAUUAAUCAAGAACGAAAGUCAGAGGUUCGAAGGCGAUCAGAUACCGCCCUAGUUCUGACCAUAAACGAUGCCAGCUAGCGAUCCGCCGACGUUCCUCCGAUGACUCGGCGGGCAGCUUCCGGGAAACCAAAGCUUUUGGGUUCCGGGGGAAGUAUGGUUGCAAAGCUGAAACUUAAAGGAAUUGACGGAAGGGCACCACCAGGAGUGGAGCCUGCGGCUUAAUUUGACUCAACACGGGAAACCUCACCAGGCCCGGACACCGGAAGGAUUGACAGAUUGAGAGCUCUUUCUUGAUUCGGUGGGUGGUGGUGCAUGGCCGUUCUUAGUUGGUGGAGCGAUUUGUCUGGUUAAUUCCGAUAACGAACGAGACUCUAGCCUGCUAACUAGGCGUACUUUACCGGUAUCUCGAAGGCUCACAUCUUUCGUAUCCGUUGGUGUUAUCAUGUAGCACGUCUAAUGUUGCAUGUGGCAUUUUACGGUCGGAAGUUUGUGGUUUUUACUACCGGCGUACAUUUUAAUCUUCUUAGAGGGACAGGCGGCUCCUAGCCGCACGAGAUUGAGCAAUAACAGGUCUGUGAUGCCCUUAGAUGUUCUGGGCCGCACGCGCGCUACACUGAAGGAAUCAGCGUGUCUUCCCUGGCCGAGCGGUCCGGGUAACCCGCUGAACCUCCUUCGUGCUAGGGAUUGGGGCUUGCAAUUGUUCCCCAUGAACGAGGAAUUCCCAGUAAGCGCGAGUCAUAAGCUCGCGUUGAUUACGUCCCUGCCCUUUGUACACACCGCCCGUCGCUACUACCGAUUGAAUGAUUUAGUGAGGUCUUCGGACUGGUACGCGGCGGCGUUUCGACAUCGCCGAUGUCGCUGGGAAGAUGACCAAACUUGUCCUGUAUCGGAAGGCG